RNAcentral lists this long non-coding RNA (348 nucleotides) under Salmo salar (Atlantic salmon). RNAcentral describes it as "lncRNA (ENSSSAG00000116443.1)". Lineage: Eukaryota; Metazoa; Chordata; Actinopteri; Salmoniformes; Salmonidae. The record is from RNAcentral.
CAGACGAGCAACUAACAUAAUAAACUAUUUCUGAUUUCUGCACAUAAAAAUUAGCACGGGAGGCGAGUGAUGCUUAUCGGGACAGGACAGGAAUGUUAUAGAACUGUUGCAGGAUCAGGACAACACGGGAAAAAAACUGACAGUACAAGACAGGACAUUAAUUGAUUUUCACUCCCGUGGGGAGGGAAGAGAGAAGGAAAGAAAGAGAGGGAAGGUUCCGCUCAGGGUCUCCCCCCGUCUGAUGGCAACACCGCCGCCCUGACAGUAGCGUACCGGUUUUCCAAAGCUGCCCACUUCAUUCCUCUCCCCAAGCAUCCCUUUGCCAAAGAGAUGGCCCAGCUCAUGGUG